CUGGCUCAGGAUGAACGCUAGCGACAGGCCUAACACAUGCAAGUCGAGGGGCAGCGCGGGAGAAGCUUGCUUUCCUGGCGGCGACCGGCGCACGGGUGCGUAACAGGUGUGCAAUCUGUCCAUAGUCGGGGAAUAGCCCAGCGAAAGUUGGAUUAAUGCUCCAUGUGAAUCGAGACCGCAUGAUUUUGAUUUGAAACGUAAGGACUAUGGGUGAGCACGCUUCUGAUUAGAUAGUUGGUGAGGUAACGGCUCACCAAGUCGACGAUCAGUAGGGGUUCUGAGAGGAAGGUCCCCCACAUUGGAACUGAGACACGGUCCAAACUCCUACGGGAGGCAGCAGUGAGGAAUAUUGGUCAAUGGGCGAGAGCCUGAACCAGCCAAGUCGCGUGAAAGGAUGAAGGUUCUAUGGAUUGUAAACUUCUUUUGUCCGAGGGUAAAAAGGCCACGCGUGGCUUCUUGCAAGUAUCGGACGAAUAAGCAUCGGCUAACUCCGUGCCAGCCGCAGC
RNAcentral lists this ribosomal RNA (506 nucleotides) under uncultured bacterium. RNAcentral describes it as "bacterial SSU rRNA". It matches the Rfam family "Bacterial small subunit ribosomal RNA", at positions 19 to 518 of the family's 1533-position model. The record is from RNAcentral.